GACGAACGCUGGCGGCGUGCUUAACACAUGCAAGUCGAACGGAAAGGCCCUGCUUUUGUGGGGUGCUCGAGUGGCGAACGGGUGAGUAACACGUGAGUAACCUGCCCUUGACUUUGGGAUAACUUCAGGAAACUGGGGCUAAUACCGGAUAGGAGCUCCUGCUGCAUGGUGGGGGUUGGAAAGUUUCGGCGGUUGGGGAUGGACUCGCGGCUUAUCAGCUUGUUGGUGGGGUAGUGGCUUACAAAGGCGUUGACGGGUAGCCGGCGUGAGAGGGUGACCGGCCACAUUGGGACUGAGAUACGGCCCAGACUCCUACGGGAGGCAGCAGUGGGGAAUAUUGCACAAUGGGCGGAAGCCUGAUGCAGCAACGCCGCGUGCGGGAUGACGGCCUUCGGGUUGUAAACCGCUUUCGCCUGUGACGAAGCGUGAGUGACGGUAAUGGGUAAAGAAGCACCGGCUAACUACGUG
RNAcentral lists this ribosomal RNA (468 nucleotides) under uncultured bacterium. Its description in RNAcentral is "partial 16S ribosomal RNA". It matches the Rfam family "Bacterial small subunit ribosomal RNA", at positions 28 to 507 of the family's 1533-position model. The record is from RNAcentral.